Molecule: long non-coding RNA, 419 nt
Filed under: Mytilus galloprovincialis (Mediterranean mussel)
Lineage: Eukaryota; Metazoa; Mollusca; Bivalvia; Mytilida; Mytilidae
Source: RNAcentral
CAAUUUAUGUAAACAAUUACAGAUAAACUAAUGAAAAUUGCAGUUCCCUAAAGAAUGAAAAAUGAUAUCAGAUGAGGGAGGGUAGGAGGGGUCCUGAAUCCUGAUCCCGAAAUCACGGGCUUAAAAACACGAAAUUCUGAGUAUACAUAAAUUUAAAUCCCGACACCCCGAAAUUCCAGGAUUCCAAAACCCCGAGCUUAAAACACCCCGAUCCCAGUCCAACAAACCACCACCCCCAAUGAUUACAACUAAAAAAAAGCAGGACAACAUUUUUAAUUCCAGCCCUCCCACCCAUAAAAUCAAAUGGUAGCAUCGUUGUACUUUAUUUCAUUUUAUGUAAGAUCUAGGCAUUGGCAAGUAAAAAACGAAAACAGUUUUGGUCCUUUCUAUUUCCCUCCUUUUUUAACGUCCUGGUUUUC